This 22-nucleotide non-coding RNA is filed under the name Arabidopsis thaliana (thale cress). The record is from RNAcentral. Lineage: Eukaryota; Viridiplantae; Streptophyta; Magnoliopsida; Brassicales; Brassicaceae.
UCAACUUGGUUUCACGCCAUAA